This 393-nucleotide ribosomal RNA is filed under the name uncultured bacterium. Its description in RNAcentral is "partial 16S ribosomal RNA". It matches the Rfam family "Bacterial small subunit ribosomal RNA", at positions 523 to 918 of the family's 1533-position model. The record is from RNAcentral.
AUACGGGGGAUUCAAGCGUUAUCCGGACUUAUUGGGUUUAAAGGGUGCGCAGGCGGGAGAUUAAGUCGGCGGUGAAAUUUUGCAGCUCAACUGUAAAAGUGCCUUCGAAACUGGGUUUCUUGAGUGUAGAUGAAGUAGGCGGAAUUUGUGGUGUAGCGGUGAAAUGCAUAGAUAUCACGAGGAACUCCGAUUGCGCAGGCAGCUUACUAAACUACUACUGACGCUCAGGCACGAAGGCGUGGGGAUCAAACAGGAUUAGAUACCCUGGUAGUCCACGCAGUAAACGAUGAUUACUAGCUGUUUGCGAUACAAUGUAAGCGGCUGAGCGAAAGCGUUAAGUAAUCCACCUGGGGAGUACGUUCGCAAGAAUGAAACUCAAAGGAAUUGACGGGG